GAAGAACGCUGGCGGCGUGCCUAAUACAUGCAAGUCGAGCGAACGGACGAGAAGCUUGCUUCUCUGAUGUUAGCGGCGGACGGGUGAGUAACACGUGGAUAACCUACCUAUAAGACUGGGAUAACUUCGGGAAACCGGAGCUAAUACCGGAUAAUAUUUUGAACCGCAUGGUUCAAAAGUGAAAGACGGUCUUGCUGUCACUUAUAGAUGGAUCCGCGCUGCAUUAGCUAGUUGGUAAGGUAACGGCUUACCAAGGCAACGAUGCACAGCCGACCUGAGAGGGUGAUCGGCCACACUGGAACUGAGACACGGUCCAGACUCCUACGGGAGGCAGCAGUAGGGAAUCUUCCGCAAUGGGCGAAAGCCUGACGGAGCAACGCCGCGUGAGUGAUGAGGGUCUUCGGAUCGUAAAACUCUGUUAUUAGGGAAGAACAUAUGUGUAAGUAACUGUGCACAUCUUGACGGUACCUAAUCAGAAAGCCACGGCUAACUACGUGCCAGCAGCCGCGGUAAUACGUAGGUGGCAAGCGUUAUCCGGAAUUAUUGGGCGUAAAGCGCGCGUAGGCGGUUUUUUAAGUCUGAUGUGAAAGCCCACGGCUCAACCGUGGAGGGUCAUUGGAAACUGGAAAACUUGAGUGCAGAAGAGGAAAGUGGAAUUCCAUGUGUAGCGGUGAAAUGCGCAGAGAUAUGGAGGAACACCAGUGGCGAAGGCGACUUUCUGGUCUGUAACUGACGCUGAUGUGCGAAAGCGUGGGGAUCAAACAGGAUUAGAUACCCUGGUAGUCCACGCCGUAAACGAUGAGUGCUAAGUGUUAGGGGGUUUCCGCCCCUUAGUGCUGCAGCUAACGCAUUAAGCACUCCGCCUGGGGAGUACGACCGCAAGGUUGAAACUCAAAGGAAUUGACGGGGACCCGCACAAGCGGUGGAGCAUGUGGUUUAAUUCGAAGCAACGCGAAGAACCUUACCAAAUCUUGACAUCCUUUGACAACUCUAGAGAUAGAGCCUUCCCCUUCGGGGGACAAAGUGACAGGUGGUGCAUGGUUGUCGUCAGCUCGUGUCGUGAGAUGUUGGGUUAAGUCCCGCAACGAGCGCAACCCUUAAGCUUAGUUGCCAUCAUUAAGUUGGGCACUCUAAGUUGACUGCCGGUGACAAACCGGAGGAAGGUGGGGAUGACGUCAAAUCAUCAUGCCCCUUAUGAUUUGGGCUACACACGUGCUACAAUGGACAAUACAAAGGGCAGCGAAACCGCGAGGUCAAGCAAAUCCCAUAAAGUUGUUCUCAGUUCGGAUUGUAGUCUGCAACUCGACUACAUGAAGCUGGAAUCGCUAGUAAUCGUAGAUCAGCAUGCUACGGUGAAUACGUUCCCGGGUCU
Molecule: ribosomal RNA, 1372 nt
Filed under: uncultured bacterium
Lineage: Bacteria
Description: bacterial SSU rRNA
Rfam family: Bacterial small subunit ribosomal RNA
Source: RNAcentral